RNAcentral lists this microRNA (17 nucleotides) under Macrophomina phaseolina MS6. RNAcentral's name for it is "miR-1280". The record is from RNAcentral. Lineage: Eukaryota; Fungi; Ascomycota; Dothideomycetes; Botryosphaeriales; Botryosphaeriaceae.
UCCCGCCGCUGCCACCG